UAAUCAAGGACAAGUGAGAUCAUCUUUUGGAAACCCGAUUAGAUUAAUGGCAUGCACAUGUGGCUAAGGAGAGGUUGCUAUAAAAACCUGGUAUGGACUACUUGUAAUUCAUUAGUCUUAAGGAGUGUGUGGAACAGGAGUCAUUACACUUAACCAAAAAAUGGAUCAAGGCAGAAGAAAACGCUCAAAAAACUUCAGUGAAUUUGAGAAGACCCUUUUUAAACAAAUUGUAUCAAAUUAUCCUGUAAUUGAAAACACACAGCAUGAUUCAGGUACAGAAAACAAGAAGAAGAAGGCAUGGAUUUCCAUAUUGAAUCAAUUCAACUCAAAUGAAAAAGUAACCAAACGGACACUCCAACAAGUUCAGGUCCUGUGGAAAAACAUAAAAAUAAACCUG
Carassius auratus (goldfish) is the source of this 397-nucleotide long non-coding RNA. RefSeq lists it as uncharacterized. The record is from RefSeq and is a predicted model, not a curated record. The transcript is spliced from 2 exons. NCBI's taxonomy places the organism in Eukaryota, Metazoa, Chordata, Actinopteri, Cypriniformes, Cyprinidae.